Molecule: unclassified non-coding RNA, 544 nt
Filed under: Carex tereticaulis
Lineage: Eukaryota; Viridiplantae; Streptophyta; Magnoliopsida; Poales; Cyperaceae
Description: partial external transcribed spacer 1f
Source: RNAcentral
UUUUGUGCGGCCAACCGACAGNGGGCGGUCUCUUCACUCUCCCUCCUGUCAUUUAAUUGUGNGGNCUGGGAUGCUUGUNAUCGNNUNGNUGUGUACCACUACCCUGUUGUGGGUAGCGAACUUGUCCCUCGAUUGAUAUGUGCUUGCCUUUCUGACAUUUUAUGUCGUUUGGGCAGCCGAAAUGAUGGCGAGAUCCUUGGGUAGGUGCGUGGUCGAAUGNCCUUGUUGCUAUCGCUUGGAUCUUUGCCGUCUCUCACGGAUGCAGUGCUUAGUGCUAGCUCUGUGUGACUUUACUCCGCAGACUUCGGGAGGUCCCUUGUACGAAUCAUGUGAUCAGAUGCCGUUUGUCGUGUUGCUUGUUUGGCACGCAAAUCGUAUUGUUCUGUCCGGAGUCGGGAUGAUGAAAGUCAGAAUGAAGUGUCUGUGGCAUGAUUGCGUACAUGGGGAAUGCCUCUCCGAUUGUAUGAGCAGCGAUUUUCGGCUUGCGCCAUGCGAAGGCCCGCCCGUUUGGGUUGGUGCCGGAGCAGACGCGUCGGCUCUCGUG